GCUGCACACUAUUAAAGCUCAGAGUGGAGGCCGGUCUUGGCCAAUGAACUUGUGAGUGUCGGAAGUGUGCUAUAUUAAUGGCAGGAUUUUCGCUAACACCAGUAGAGCUUGCCUCUGUGACUGGAGUUUGAUAGUACUCGCUGCCACAUGG
Molecule: small nucleolar RNA, 151 nt
Organism: Kogia breviceps (pygmy sperm whale)
Lineage: Eukaryota; Metazoa; Chordata; Mammalia; Artiodactyla; Physeteridae
Source: RefSeq, a predicted model, not a curated record